Molecule: transfer RNA, 18 nt
Filed under: Sphagnum recurvum
Lineage: Eukaryota; Viridiplantae; Streptophyta; Sphagnopsida; Sphagnales; Sphagnaceae
Also listed under: 1 other name
Description: partial tRNA-Phe
Source: RNAcentral
GACAGAAGCCGGGAUAGC